This 867-nucleotide ribosomal RNA is filed under the name uncultured Bacteroidota bacterium. RNAcentral describes it as "bacterial SSU rRNA". It matches the Rfam family "Bacterial small subunit ribosomal RNA", at positions 566 to 1436 of the family's 1533-position model. The record is from RNAcentral. Lineage: Bacteria; Pseudomonadati; Bacteroidota.
GGUCCGUAGCGGGACAAUAAGUCAGUGGUGAAAGUUUGCGCUCAACCGUAAAUUGGCCAUUGAUACUGUUGCUCUUGAGUGCUUGUGAAGUGGUUAGAAUGAGUAGUGUAGCGGUGAAAUGCAUAGAUAUUACUCAGAAUACCGAUUGCGAAGGCAGAUCACUAACAAUUCACUGACGCUGAUGGACGAAAGCGUAGGUAGCGAACAGGAUUAGAUACCCUGGUAGUCUACGCCGUAAACGAUGGUUACUAGCUGUUCGGACUAAUUGAGGUCUGAGUGGCUAAGCGAAAGUGAUAAGUAACCCACCUGGGGAGUACGUUCGCAAGAAUGAAACUCAAAGGAAUUGACGGGGGCCCGCACAAGCGGUGGAGCAUGUGGUUUAAUUCGAUGAUACGCGAGGAACCUUACCAGGGCUUAAAUGUAGUUUGACAGGGGUGGAAACAUCUUUUUCUUCGGACAAAUUGCAAGGUGCUGCAUGGUUGUCGUCAGCUCGUGCCGUGAGGUGUCAGGUUAAGUCCUAUAACGAGCGCAACCCCUUUGGUUAGUUACCAGCAUAUAAUGAUGGGGACUCUAGCCAUACUGCCAGUGUAAACUGUGAGGAAGGUGGGGAUGACGUCAAAUCAUCACGGCCCUUACGUCCUGGGCUACACACGUGCUACAAUGGUAGGGACAGAGAGCAGCCACACCGCGAGGUGGAGCGAAUCUACAAACCCUAUCACAGUUCGGAUCGCAGUCUGCAACUCGACUGCGUGAAGCUGGAAUCGCUAGUAAUCGCAUAUCAGCCAUGAUGCGGUGAAUACGUUCCCGGGCCUUGUACACACCGCCCGUCAAGCCAUGGAAGCUGGGGGUACCUGAAGUCGGUCACCG